UUAUAGAUAAGGAAAAUAAGGCAAACAAGGUUAAGUGACUUGACUAGAGUCACAUAACUAAGGUGAGAUUUGAACUCUGAAAGAUGGGACAUCUUGGCACAGGCACAGUACUCCACUGAGCAACAAACCACCCUGUUUCCAGGAACUUAUUGGUGACUCUUCCUUAGAAUAAAGAAAAAUGUUGUGUCAUAAAAAAAGAAAGUGAACCAAACCACUAUCAUAGAGGAAUGCAAGAAUGGAAGCAUCACUCACAACUGGGAGGAACCAAGGAAUAUUGACAACCAGAUGAUCUCAAGGCAUGAGAGAGGUACAAGAAUUUUGGAAGAUACCCACAGGGACCUGUGAUGCUAAGUGGUAUUAAAGUGGAUGUGGUAACAAGUAAAAUAUCAAGAAACUGUCAUAGGAUUUUCAUAAAACAAGCAUUUGAAGUAUGAAAUUUGAAAAUUAAUGAAGGCUGAAAUUAAUGAAAUGGAGAUGUCACUAUUUUAAUAGAUCAUAUUAUUAUAAAAUGUUUGUAAAAGGAGAGAUGUUAGACAUGAUUGAUUAAAUAAAAUUACUUGAAGCUAUGUGAUUGAUCUAUUU
Molecule: long non-coding RNA, 582 nt
Filed under: Monodelphis domestica (gray short-tailed opossum)
Lineage: Eukaryota; Metazoa; Chordata; Mammalia; Didelphimorphia; Didelphidae
Description: lncRNA (ENSMODG00000043524.1)
Source: RNAcentral